This is a small nuclear RNA of Suricata suricatta (meerkat), 104 nucleotides long. NCBI's taxonomy places the organism in Eukaryota, Metazoa, Chordata, Mammalia, Carnivora, Herpestidae. The record is from Ensembl.
UUGCUUCAGCAGCACAUAUACUAAAAUUGAAAUAAUGCAGAGAAGAUUAGCAUGGCCCCUGUGCAAAGCUGACAUACAAAUCCAAGUACAUAUUUCCUUUGUAU